UCUCUUUUCAAAGAGAAUUUAUCUCCACUGGAAAAAAUUAAUAUUAACAUGAUCUCUCAAGUUCCUCUUGAUGUUAUGCAUUUAAUCGAUUUAGGGGNCAUGCGAAAGUUUAUUUUACGAGUAAUAAAUAAUAAAUCAAAUUACAAAUUUAAAAAAGAAACUAAAUUGUAUUUAUCCAAAAAAAUAGUAGCGUUAUCUUCGUACAUCACCAGGGAAUUUGUUCGUAAACCAAGAACUGUAGAUGAAAUAGCGAAUUGGAAAGCGAUUGAGUUCUGCAUGUUUCUUUUUUAUUAUGGAAUUUAUGUCCUCAAAGAUGAGCUUCCGGGUGAUGUAUAUUAUGAAUUCCUCCUAUUGCAUUGCGCGUGUAGGUUAUUAUUCUGCCCAAAAAACUAUAACUCUAACAUUGAUGUAGCGGGAAAUAUGUUAAAGUUAUUCGUGGAAAAUUUUGCUGUUGUGUUUGGGGAAAACAGUAUUUCGUGCAAUGUACACUCCCUUCUUCAUAUUUCAGAAGACGUUAAAGAGCUAGGUAUUCCAUCGAGUUACUCUGCAUAUUCCUUUGAAAACCACUUACAAAUUUUGAAGUCAUAUGUGAAAAAACCGACACAAAUAUUACAACAAAUACAUAAUAUGAUGAAACAUGAAGAAAUUGUGGUGGCCCCAAAAUUUACUGGUUUUAAAAUAAAAAAUAACAUUAUAGUGAGUUUUAAUUUUAAAGAAUUUNUGUUAUCUAAUAAAAGCCCAAAUAGUUACUGUUCCGUAAAACCAUUUCAGUACAUAAGAAUUGAGGAAUUUAAAGACAUUAACAGCAAAGUUAUCAAAGGAAAGAGAUUUUUACACCUAGAAAGCUAUUUCNCAGAGCCCAUUGAUUCGUAUACUAUGGGAAUAUGUACUGCGGACCAUAUUCUGUCAUCUGAUAUAGAGGAGUUUUCUCUGGAUGAUGUAGAGUAUAUAUUAAUGUGUAUCCCUUCUUAUUCCAAUAUUACAUACUUGCAUGUAACCUUCGUUUAUUGUAAUAGUUAAUUUUUUAUCAUUUUUUUUAUGGAAACAAUUACUAAUUUUUCUUUUUUUCUUGAGCAUUUCAAAAAAUAUGGAGCACCAAAUCCCAAAACGUCGACCACAGCAAUUCCAAUGAAAAAGGCAAAAUAUGGCAUUGACACUGCCCACCUUGGACAAAACAUUAGUGUAUNCAGUGAAUGCACUAUAGAAUCACGUGGGAUCAGCGUUUCAACGUCNGCCACUAAAUAUACCAUUUAAAUUUAUUGUUUUAGAAUCCAACCAAGGCGUGUUUGAAGUUG
This 1295-nucleotide unclassified non-coding RNA is filed under the name Bactrocera latifrons. Its description in RNAcentral is "uncharacterized LOC108975119, transcript variant X3". Lineage: Eukaryota; Metazoa; Arthropoda; Insecta; Diptera; Tephritidae. The record is from RNAcentral.